GGAGUCGGACAGGCGGCCGCAGCGGGCAACCGCUGAGGAAAGUCCGGACUCCACAGGGCAGGCUGCUGGGUAACUCCCAGGCGUGGUGACACGCGGAAAGCGCAACAGAGAGCAGUCCGCCGAUGGCCGUCUCCGGACGGCACAGGUGAGGGUGAAACGGUGGGGUAAGAGCCCACCGGCGUCGCUGGUGACAGCGGCGGCCAGGCAAGCCCCAGUCGGAGCAAGACCGAGCAGGGACAUGGGUGGCCCGCCCGUUAGGCGGGCAGCGAGGUCCCGUACCGAGCUGCUCGACACGAUCCCAGGUAGGUCGCUCGAGGCGGCGGGCAACCGUCGCCCUAGAUAGAUGGUCGCCACCCGCAGGUCCGCCUGCGGGGACAGGAUCCGGCUUACCGUCCGACUCCUCCA
This 405-nucleotide RNase P RNA is filed under the name Actinomycetota bacterium. RNAcentral's name for it is "Actinobacteria bacterium RNase P RNA component class A". It matches the Rfam family "Bacterial RNase P class A". Rfam says of the family: Ribonuclease P (RNase P) is a ubiquitous endoribonuclease, found in archaea, bacteria and eukarya as well as chloroplasts and mitochondria. Its best characterised activity is the generation of mature 5'-ends of tRNAs by cleaving the 5'-leader elements of precursor-tRNAs. Lineage: Bacteria; Bacillati; Actinomycetota. The record is from RNAcentral.